GCCGGGGUGGCCGAGCGGCCUAAGGCGGCGGCCUGCAGAGCCGCUUAUCCGUGGGUUCGAAUCCCACCCCCGGCU
Molecule: transfer RNA, 75 nt
Filed under: Candidatus Marsarchaeota G2 archaeon OSP_D
Lineage: Archaea; Thermoproteati; Thermoproteota
Also listed under: 5 other names
Description: tRNA-Cys
Rfam family: tRNA
About the family: Transfer RNA (tRNA) molecules are approximately 80 nucleotides in length. Their secondary structure includes four short double-helical elements and three loops (D, anti-codon, and T loops).
Source: RNAcentral